CAUGCAAGUCGAACGGUAGCACAGAGAGCUUGCUCUCGGGUGACGAGUGGCGGACNGGUGAGUAAUGUCUGGGAAACUGCCUGAUGGAGGGGGAUAACUACUGGAAACGGUAGCUAAUACCGCAUAACGUCGCAAGACCAAAGAGGGGGACCUUCGGGCCUCUUGCCAUCAGAUGUGCCCAGAUGGGAUUAGCUAGUAGGUGGGGUAACGGCUCACCUAGGCGACGAUCCCUAGCUGGUCUGAGAGGAUGACCAGCCACACUGGAACUGAGACACGGUCCAGACUCCUACGGGAGGCAGCAGUGGGGAAUAUUGCACAAUGGGCGCAAGCCUGAUGCAGCCAUGCCGCGUGUAUGAAGAAGGCCUUCGGGUUGUAAAGUACUUUCAGCGGGGAGGAAGGUGUUGNGGUU
This 409-nucleotide ribosomal RNA is filed under the name Enterobacter sp. RNAcentral describes it as "bacterial SSU rRNA". It matches the Rfam family "Bacterial small subunit ribosomal RNA", at positions 54 to 461 of the family's 1533-position model. Lineage: Bacteria; Pseudomonadati; Pseudomonadota; Gammaproteobacteria; Enterobacterales; Enterobacteriaceae. The record is from RNAcentral.